AGUGUAUUACCCAUGAGAGUUGAAUGUAUGCAAAUCCGAGCAGUUCCACUCCUGAGGACACAGACAGACAACACCUAUUUUUAGCGAUGUUGUUUGUAACAGUCCCACACUGCAAAGACAAAAUGCCCUUCAAGAGUGGAAUGGGUAAAUAUAUUGUGUUGUGGUUGCAAUGAACACUAUACACCAAUGAACAGGAGCAAACUGUGGCUUCCUUCAACAACAUGAAUGGAGCUCACAAAUACAAUAUGAGUGCAAGAAGCUUGACAGAAAAGGAUACAUCCUGUAGAGUUCCACUUAUAUGAGCUUCAGAAAUAGGCAACGCUAAUAUACGGUGAAUGGAUAUUCACCUGGGCCAGAGUGGGGGUGACUAGGAGGGUCCUGGUGUCAUUCUGUUUCUUGAUUGUGACUCUGGUAUGCCAACUCUGCUCACUGGGCAGCAAGAUGUGUGAUGUCUACACUCUGCUGUAUGUCAAGAAUAUUUUGAAAAGCCUUCCGAUGGCUCGUGGACUAUGGAAGGGGGAGAGCUGGUGUGUCUUCCAGGGCAGAAUUGGCUGGCAGGGGAGUCUGCAGAAUGCUGUCUUCAGGCAGUGAGGAGGUGUAGCAGGUGAGUGUUAGCUUUGAGGUGGUGAUUCUGUGUGGCCCAGACUCAGGGUCGCCCCACACAAGCCUUCCUUGUCCUCCCUGACCAGAGCAGACCACGCUGUGCUCCCUCUCAGGACUUUCUGGACCUAAACCCUCAUAGAUCUUCCUGCACUUUCUUUUUGUGCAUUAUGUUUAUAUGUACACACAUGUGUGUGGAUAAGUAUGCACUACACAUUUAUAUCAAUUUCUGUUUUCCCUGCUAGAAGUUUCUAGAAGGCAAGGCCUGUGUAGGUUUUGCUCUGCAGUGUCAGCAGCACCUACACAUAGUAGGUGCUCACAAAUUUUUAUGGAAUGUAUGCAGAACUUCAGGUGUCUACCUGACUUCACCUGACUUCACCAGAACAGAAGCUCAUCCUCAGACGUCCUUCAGCUCCCAUGGAACCACACUCAGCACACACUCAGUUCUGACAAAUACAGGUGUUUGAAGGGAUGCGUGCAUGGCUCAGUGGUUGAGUGU
Molecule: long non-coding RNA, 1099 nt
Filed under: Canis lupus dingo (dingo)
Lineage: Eukaryota; Metazoa; Chordata; Mammalia; Carnivora; Canidae
Description: lncRNA (ENSCAFG00020003407.1)
Source: RNAcentral